UCCUCUGUAUAACUGAGCUGCUAUGAC
This 27-nucleotide unclassified non-coding RNA is filed under the name Mus musculus (house mouse). Its description in RNAcentral is "oocyte_clustered_small_RNA8777". The record is from RNAcentral. Lineage: Eukaryota; Metazoa; Chordata; Mammalia; Rodentia; Muridae.